This 253-nucleotide ribosomal RNA is filed under the name uncultured bacterium. RNAcentral describes it as "partial 16S ribosomal RNA". It matches the Rfam family "Bacterial small subunit ribosomal RNA", at positions 524 to 776 of the family's 1533-position model. The record is from RNAcentral.
UACGUAGGGACCGAGCGUUAUCCGGAUUCAUUGGGCGUAAAGAGCUCGUAGGCGGCUAUCCAAGUCGAACGUGAAAUCUCGGAGCUCAACUCCGGGCCUGCAGUCGAUACGGGCAAACUGGAGUGUUGCAGGGGAGACUGGAAUUCCUGGUGUAGCGGUGAAAUGCGCAGAUAUCAGGAGGAACACCGGUGGCGAAGGCAGCCUCCUGGGCCAAUACUGACGCUCAUGCACGAAAGCGUGGGGAGCAAACAGG